This 95-nucleotide non-coding RNA is filed under the name Streptomyces zinciresistens K42. Its description in RNAcentral is "Glycine riboswitch aptamer". It matches the Rfam family "Glycine riboswitch aptamer". From Rfam's summary of the family: This family represents the bacterial glycine riboswitch. Glycine riboswitches usually consist of two metabolite-binding aptamers domains with similar structures in tandem. The aptamers cooperatively bind glycine to regulate the expression of downstream genes. RNAcentral also lists the same sequence under 1 other name. Lineage: Bacteria; Bacillati; Actinomycetota; Actinomycetes; Kitasatosporales; Streptomycetaceae. The record is from Rfam by way of RNAcentral.
UGACCCCGCGCGGGAGAGUCCUCCGGAGACAUCGGAGGCGCCGAAGGAGCAAAUCCUCCCCGGAAUCUCUCAGGCACACGUACCGCGUGGACGAG